RNAcentral lists this ribosomal RNA (162 nucleotides) under Avena sterilis. RNAcentral's name for it is "5.8S ribosomal RNA". It matches the Rfam family "5.8S ribosomal RNA". Rfam says of the family: 5.8S ribosomal RNA (5.8S rRNA) is a component of the large subunit of the eukaryotic ribosome. It is transcribed by RNA polymerase I as part of the 45S precursor that also contains 18S and 28S rRNA. The record is from RNAcentral. Lineage: Eukaryota; Viridiplantae; Streptophyta; Magnoliopsida; Poales; Poaceae.
ACACGACUCUCGGCAACGGAUAUCUCGGCUCUCGCAUCGAUGAAGAACGUAGCAAAAUGCGAUACCUGGUGUGAAUUGCAGAAUCCCGCGAACCAUCGAGUCUUUGAACGCAAGUUGCGCCCGAGCCAUUCGGCMGAGGGCACGCCUGCCUGGGCGUCACGC